UAGAGUUUGAUCCUGGCUCAGGAUGAACGCUAGCUACAGGCUUAACACAUGCAAGUCGAGGGGAAACGGCGUUCUAGCUUGCUAGAACGGACGUCGACCGGCGCACGGGUGAGUAACGCGUAUCCAACCUGGCCCGAAGUAGGGAAUAAUCCGUAGAAAUGCGGUCUAAUGCCCUAUGUGGUUCGAAGAAGACAUCCGAUUUGAAUUAAAGAUUCAUCGCUUCGGGAUGGGGAUGCGUCUGAUUAGGCAGAAGGCGGGGCAACGGCCCACCUUACCGACGAUCAGUAGGGGUUCUGAGAGGAAGGUCCCCCACAUUGGAACUGAGACACGGUCCAAACUCCUACGGGAGGCAGCAGUGAGGAAUAUUGGUCAAUGGAGGCAACUCUGAACCAGCCAAGUAGCGUGCAGGACGACGGCCCUAUGGGUUGUAAACUGCUUUUAUAAGGGGAUAAAGGAUGCCACGUGUGGUGUUUUGCAUGUACCUUAUGAAUAAGGACCGGCUAAUUCCGUGCCAGCAGCCGCGGUAAUACGGAAGGUCCGGGCGUUAUCCGGAUUUAUUGGGUUUAAAGGGAGCGCAGGCGGGCGAUUAAGCGUGACGUGAAAUGCAGCGGCUCAACCGUAUGAAGUGCGUCGCGAACUGGUUGCCUUGAGUGAGUUCGACGUGCGCGGAAUUCGUGGUGUAGCGGUGAAAUGCUUAGAUAUCACGAAGAACUCCGAUUGCGAAGGCAGCGCACGAGGCCUUUACUGACGCUAAAGCUCGAAAGUGCGGGUAUCGAACAGGAUUAGAUACCCUGGUAGUCCGCACGGUAAACGAUGGAUGCCCGCUGUCUGCGAUACACUGUAGGCGGCCAAGAGAAAUCGUUAAGCAUCCCACCUGGGGAGUACGCCGGCAACGGUGAAACUCAAAGGAAUUGACGGGGGCCCGCACAAGCGGAGGAACAUGUGGUUUAAUUCGAUGAUACGCGAGGAACCUUACCCGGGCUUGAACUGCAGGCGUACGAUACAGAGAUGUUGAGGCCCUUCGGGGCGCCUGUGGAGGUGCUGCAUGGUUGUCGUCAGCUCGUGCCGUGAGGUGUCGGCUUAAGUGCCAUAACGAGCGCAACCCCUUUCUCCAGUUGCCAUCAGGUUAUGCUGGGCACUCUGGAGACACUGCCACCGUAAGGUGUGAGGAAGGUGGGGAUGACGUCAAAUCAGCACGGCCCUUACGUCCGGGGCUACACACGUGUUACAAUGGGUGGUACAGAGAGUCGGUGCAUCGCAAGUUGCAUCUAAUCAUGAAAGCCAUCCUCAGUUCGGAUUGGGGUCUGCAACCCGACCCCAUGAAGCUGGAUUCGCUAGUAAUCGCGCAUCAGCCAUGGCGCGGUGAAUACAAUGCCGGGCCUUGCACUCACCGCCCGUCAAG
Molecule: ribosomal RNA, 1402 nt
Filed under: uncultured bacterium
Lineage: Bacteria
Description: bacterial SSU rRNA
Rfam family: Bacterial small subunit ribosomal RNA
Source: RNAcentral